UACGGAGGGGGCAAGCGUUAUUCGGAAUUAUUGGGCGUAAAGGGCGCGUAGGCGGCUUUUCAAGUGACGGGUGAAAUCCCUCGGCUUAACCGAGGAACUGCCUGUCAGACUGGAAGGCUUGAGACCGGGAGAGGUGAGUGGAAUUCCCAGUGUAGCGGUGAAAUGCGUAGAUAUUGGGAGGAACACCAGUGGCGAAGGCGGCUCACUGGACCGGAACUGACGCUGAGGCGCGAAAGCGUGGGGAGCAAACAGG
Molecule: ribosomal RNA, 253 nt
Filed under: uncultured bacterium
Lineage: Bacteria
Description: partial 16S ribosomal RNA
Rfam family: Bacterial small subunit ribosomal RNA
Source: RNAcentral